UUAUAAGAGACAGCAGCCGCCGCGGUAACACGAAGGGUGCAAGCGUUACUCGGAAUUACUGGGCGUAAAGCGUGUGUAGGUGGUUGUUUAAGUCUGUCGUGAAAGCCCUGGGCUCAACCUGGGAAUUGCGAUGGAUACUGGGCGACUAGAGUGCGGUAGAGGAUAGUGGAAUUUCCGGUGUAGCAGUGAAAUGCGUAGAUAUCGGAAGGAACACCUGAGGCGAAAGCGGCUCACUGGACCAUAACUGACGCUGAGGCGCGAAAGCUAGGGGAGCAAACAGGAUUAGAUACCCCUGUAGUCCCUGUCUCUUAUAC
Molecule: ribosomal RNA, 314 nt
Filed under: uncultured bacterium
Lineage: Bacteria
Description: partial 16S ribosomal RNA
Rfam family: Bacterial small subunit ribosomal RNA
Source: RNAcentral